This 157-nucleotide ribosomal RNA is filed under the name uncultured Sphaerosporella. RNAcentral's name for it is "5.8S ribosomal RNA". It matches the Rfam family "5.8S ribosomal RNA". Rfam says of the family: 5.8S ribosomal RNA (5.8S rRNA) is a component of the large subunit of the eukaryotic ribosome. It is transcribed by RNA polymerase I as part of the 45S precursor that also contains 18S and 28S rRNA. Functionally, it is thought that 5.8S rRNA may be involved in ribosome translocation. Lineage: Eukaryota; Fungi; Ascomycota; Pezizomycetes; Pezizales; Pyronemataceae. The record is from RNAcentral.
AAAACUUUCAACAACGGAUCUCUUGGUUCUCGCAUCGAUGAAGAACGCARCGAAAUGCGAUAAGUAGUGUGAAUUGCAGAAUUUAGUGAAUCAUCGAAUCUUUGAACGCACAUUGSGCCUCCCUGUAUUCAGGGAGGCAUGCCUGUCCGARUGUCAU